Molecule: non-coding RNA, 2608 nt
Filed under: Pongo abelii (Sumatran orangutan)
Lineage: Eukaryota; Metazoa; Chordata; Mammalia; Primates; Hominidae
Source: RNAcentral
CGCGGGGGCGCCCCCCUCGGCCGGGCGCUCGGGUUUCAGCCGCCGCUCCCCCGCGCCCCGCCCGCGCUUGGCCCGCUCGCCGGCGCCGGGAGAGACCUCGUAACGGAACUGGGACGCCAGCGCUGCAUUGUGGGAGCUUUUAAAGCGGCGGAGAGCGCGGCGCGACCCUCGGGCCCACCGGGCCACGCUCGCCCGGCCCGCGACGCACGGAGGCCUGAGGACCCGAAAGCCGGGCGCGGGGAGAUGACCGGUGGCUCGUGACUGUCCCACGGGCAAAAUCUUCCAUCGCCCGGGGCUGAGACUUGUCAAACUGCACUCUACGGUCACCCGGAAAGUAGGAGGCUUUUUCUGCAGAGGGAAAAAAAUCAAAAAGAGCCCUUCCAUCCCCCCUCCAAGGACUGGGUUUGAAUUGCUUUUCAUCUGCAGUGGCUGUGAUUCAGCGUCCCUCUUAGCAGCAGGCAAUGACAGAGGCAGGAGAGGAAAAAAAAAAAAAAAAAAAGAAAAAACACAGCAAAUGAAUCAAACGGACGGGUUAGUUAUAGCAGGCAAGAGUGUGGUUAUCGUUGGACCAGGAUUCAGGAUCUGACCGAGUAGCUGACUCUUAAUCCAGUUUGUGUUGAUCACCAGGAGGAUCUGGACCUCAGUGUUAUCAUAUCUAGAGCUAUAAUCACAUCCCUGUUAAGCCUUCCUGAGAUCACAUCAAAUGUCCUUGAUGGGAAUUGUAAACAAACCUUAAUUCUGGUAUCUAAUGAUAUUCCAGGAAAGGAGUCAAACUAGAGUCAGUGAUAUGCCAACUCCACCUUUGCCUUCCACCAUGUUUGGAAGCUCCCUGAGGCCUCACCAGGAGCAGAUGCUCAUCCCAUGCUUCCUAUAAGCCUGCAGAACUGGAAAAGAAAGCUGGAUAAAGUAUUUAUAGAAGAUAGAGGACCUGUGGUGGCUCAUGCCUGUAAUCCAAGGUGCAAGGAUCGCUUGAGGCCAGAAGUUCAAGACCAGUCCAAGCAACAUAGCAAGGCCCCAUCUCUACAAAAAAUGAAAAUAAAAUUAGCCAAGCAUGAUGGCUCAUGCCUGUAGUUCUAGCUUCUAGAGAGGCUGAGGCAGGAGGAUUGCUUGAGUCUAGGAGUUCAAGAUUACAAUGAGUUAUGGUCACACCACUGCACUCCAGCCUGGGUGAUGGAGUGAGACUGUCUCAAUAAAAAGACAAAAAGGCUGGCCAGGGGCAGUGGCUCAUGCCUGUAAACCCAGCACUUUGGGAGGCAAAGGCAGCAGGAUUGUUUAAGCCCAGGAAUUUGAGAUCAGCCUGGACAAUAUGGUCAAGGAAGCUUUUCCUGAUCCACUAACUAAGGACAAUCAAACCCUUCAUGAUCUAGAAUCUGGAGACUGUUGUCUUCUGGGAAUAGUAUCAGAGAAAGACUGCCCUUACUGCCCACAUGUAGCAAAACUUUGAGACUUUGAAUUAUGGGUCCAUAAUCCCACAACUCAGAGGGGCACCUCUAGACUCUUGGAACUGUGUAUCUAUUGGAGACUUUAAGGUAAAGCUGACCAGAGAUGUUUUUCUCCAGAAGCAGACAGCACCAUAGUCAUGGACAGCUUUCCCAAGAUCAUAGAUCAAGACUUCUCUGCUGUCAUGAGACUCAUACCUCUUAAUUUUUUCUUGCUCAUGCUUCUGUGAACAAUAGAAUUGGAAAAGGGGUGGUCCCGUGUGCACCCAUAGGGUAUACUUUUAUCUGUGGAGGGUUUUGCUGCCAGCUUUAUACAUGGACAAACUUAUGCCUUCAUGGAUGGAAGAUAAAGGGCUAAUAUGGGUUAGAAAUUUUAAUGGUACCUUUGUUUCUCCAUAAUCAUUCAGAAACAGAACACUGGUCCACUCUUGUUAACCUACAUCAUAGGUUGAAGAGAACAUUGCCAGGAGGCCUUCAUCCUUCCAGAUGGGCAUCAUUUGUUGGGUCUUUUUCCAUGGUAUGAAGAAAAUGAAGCAAUGAUUAGAAAUUGGUCCCUUGGCUGGGCACAGUGGCUCACGCCUGUAAUCCCAUCACUUUGGCAGGCCGAGGUGGGUGGAUCACCUGAGAUCAGGAGUUUGAGACCAGCCUGACCAAUGUGGUGAAACCCCAUCUCUACUAAAAAUAGAAAAAUUAGCUGGGUGUGGUGGUGCACACCUGUAAUCCCAGCUACUCGGGAGGCUGAGACAGGAGAAUUGCUUGAACCUAGGAGGUAGAGGUUGCAGUGAGCCAAGAUCACCCCACUGCAUUCCAGGUUGAGCAACAGAGCAAGACUCUGUCUCAAAAAAAAAAGAAGAAAGAAAGAAAGAAAUUGAUCCCUCAUAAUAGGCUCUACAGCAGAUUCUACUGCAAAGACUAUGGUUGCACAACAGACUUCUUUGAAUUUGCUUGCUAAACUUGUACUGGAUAAUAGAAUUGCCUCCAAAAGUGCUGGGAUUACAGGUGUGAGCCACUGUGCCCAGCCUCUCUUGUUUAAUUGUAUUCAUUCUAAUGUUUACUUACUUCUUUAAUUUGUAAAAUGGGGUCACUUAGAGUUUUUUAGCGUAUCCUACCAUUUAGCCACUAUUACUGAUAAUUUGGAUGGAAAAGAAAAAUAAAUUAUAUCACCUCUC